Oncorhynchus keta (chum salmon) is the source of this 1372-nucleotide long non-coding RNA. RefSeq lists it as uncharacterized. The transcript has 2 exons. The record is from RefSeq and is a predicted model, not a curated record. NCBI's taxonomy places the organism in Eukaryota, Metazoa, Chordata, Actinopteri, Salmoniformes, Salmonidae.
CACGUUCACUGUCUUCAAACUCCGUCAUAGAUGAGCCAAGGCGCAACGUGCAUGUAAUUCCACAUCUUUAAUAAAGUGAACCAGAACGUGACGCAACUGUGGUAGACAGAAAAUAAAUAAUUACCCACAACAUUAGGUGGGAAAAAGGCUGCCUAAGUAUGAUUCCCAAUCAGAGACAAUGAUAGACAGCUGCCUCUGAUUGGGAACCACACUUGGCCAAAAACAAAGAAAUAGAAAACGUAGAAUGCCCACACAAAUCACACCCUGACCUAACCAAAUAGAAAAAUAAAACGUCUCUAAGAUCAGGGCGUGACACUUGCCCCAAACCGAGUGAGAUGGAGUACAUUUGUCAAUGGCCUAUGCUCCUCAUAGGAGCCAAAGGCUUAAGUCAAUUGAGCUUUGCGCCAGAGGCCACGAGGAUCUGUAGGAUCUUGAGGCGACCGAACCAGGCUGCCAGCAGCAGAGGAUUCAUACCAAACUGAGAAGGGACAGCAUGUUGUAGAAAUAGAAUGAACACACAUUUUCUAAGUAGCUGAUGCUGUUCACUUUACUCACCCUCUUCUGGACUCACAGCCAAUUUGAUCGCCAUGAUUAUGUAGCCUCCAUCUCUGCCUCAUAUAUAAUAUACACACAGAGCCUUCAGGAAGUAUUUUCCCCUUGACUUAUUCCAAAUGUUGUUUUAAAGCCUGAUUUUCAACAUGGAGAAAAUUGUUGCUUUUUUCACCCAUCUUAACACAAUACCCCAUAAAUGACAAAGUGAAAACAUGUUUUUAGAAAAUGUUGCUAAUUUAUUGUUAAUUAAAUACAAAAAUAUCAAAUGUACAUAAGUGUUCACACCCAUGAGUCAAUACAUGUUAGAAUCACACCUGAGAACACAUGGAUUGUACAAUAUUUGCACAUUAUUAUUUGAAAGAUUCUUCAAGCUCUGUCAAGUUGAUUGUUGAUCAUUGCUAGACAGCCAGUUAAGUCUUUCCAUAGAUUUUCAAGCAGAUGUAAGUCAAAGCUGUAACUACAGUAGGCCACUCAGGAACAUUCAAUGUUGUCUUGGUAAGCAGUGUAUAUUUGGCCUUGUGUUUUAGGUUAUUGUCCUGCUGAAAGGGGAAUUUGUCUCUGUGUCAAGUGUGCUCCCUCUCCGGCCUAGGUCACCAGGCUGCUCGUUAUGGCGCACACCUGUCACCAUCGUUACGCGCACCUGCGUGUCGUCAGACUCACCUGGACUCCAUCACUUCCCUGAUUACCUUCCCUAUAUAUGUCACUCCCUUUGGUUCCUUCCCCAGGUGUCAUUGUUUCUGUAUUAUGUCUGUGUGCUGUUAGUGUUUCUUGGUUAGUAUUAUGUUCCGUUUAUUUGAUUAAAACACUCCCUGAACUUGCU